UACGUAGGGGGCAAGCGUUAUCCGGAAUUAUUGGGCGUAAAGAGUGCGUAGGUGGUUACUUAAGCGCGGGGUUUAAGGCAAUGGCUCAACCAUUGUUCGCCCUGCGAACUGGGUUACUUGAGUGCAGGAGAGGAAAGCGGAAUUCCUAGUGUAGCGGUGAAAUGCGUAGAUAUUAGGAGGAACACCAGUGGCGAAGGCGGCUCUCUGGUCUGCAACUGACGCUGAGGCUCGAAAGCAUGGGUAGCGAACAGG
This 252-nucleotide ribosomal RNA is filed under the name uncultured Clostridiaceae bacterium. RNAcentral describes it as "partial 16S ribosomal RNA". It matches the Rfam family "Bacterial small subunit ribosomal RNA", at positions 524 to 776 of the family's 1533-position model. The record is from RNAcentral. Lineage: Bacteria; Bacillati; Bacillota; Clostridia; Eubacteriales; Clostridiaceae.